GCCAGGAUGGCCGAGUGGUCCAAAGCACUAAACUCAAGUUCUAGGGGCGUGGGUUCAAAUCCCACUCCUGACA
Molecule: non-coding RNA, 73 nt
Organism: Rhincodon typus (whale shark)
Lineage: Eukaryota; Metazoa; Chordata; Chondrichthyes; Orectolobiformes; Rhincodontidae
Source: the annotation of a RefSeq genome assembly